UCGGGAAUUUUGGGCAAUGGGCGAAGGCCUGACCCAGCAACGCCGCGUGAGGGAUGAAGUAUUUCGGUAUGUAAACCUCGAAAGAAUGGGAAGAAUAAAUGACGGUACCAUUUAUAAGCUCCGGCUAACUACGUGCCAGCAGCCGCGGUAAUACGGAGGGUGCAAGCGUUAUCCGGAUUCACUGGGUUUAAAGGGUGCGUAGGUGGGCAGAUAAGUCAGUGGUGAAAUCUUCCGGCUUAACCGGGAAACUGCCGUUGAUACUAUUUGGCUUGAAUAUUGCGGAGGUAAGCGGAAUAUGUCAUGUAGCGGUGAAAUGCUUAGAUAUGACAUAGAACACCAAUUGCGAAGGCAGCUUACUACACAAUCAUUGACACUGAGGCACGAAAGCGUGGGUAGCGAACA
RNAcentral lists this ribosomal RNA (402 nucleotides) under uncultured bacterium. Its description in RNAcentral is "bacterial SSU rRNA". It matches the Rfam family "Bacterial small subunit ribosomal RNA", at positions 355 to 774 of the family's 1533-position model. The record is from RNAcentral.